AGUAACACGUAGGCAACCUGCCCCUAAGACCGGGAUAACAUUCGGAAACGAAUGCUAAGACCGGAUACGCAAGCCUGUCGCAUGACGGGCUUGGGAAACACGGAGCAAUCUGUGGCUUGGGGAUGGGCCUGCGGCGCAUUAGCUAGUUGGUGGGGUAACGGCUCACCAAGGCGACGAUGCGUAGCCGACCUGAGAGGGUGAACGGCCACACUGGGACUGAGACACGGCCCAGACUCCUACGGGAGGCAGCAGUAGGGAAUCUUCCACAAUGGGCGAAAGCCUGAUGGAGCAACGCCGCGUGAGUGAGGAAGGCUUUCGGGUCGUAAAGCUCUGUUGCCAGGGAAGAAUAAGGAUGUGUUAACUGCACAUUCGAUGACGGUACCUGAGAAGAAAGCCCCGGCUAACUACGUGCCAGCAGCCGCGGUAAUACGUAGGGGGCAAGCGUUGUCCGGAAUUAUUGGGCGUAAAGCGCGCGCAGGCGGUCUUUUAAGUCUGGUGUCUAAGUGCGGGGCUCAACCCCGUGAUGCACUGGAAACUGGGAGACUUGAGUGCAGAAGAGGAGAGCGGAAUUCCACGUGUAGCGGUGAAAUGCGUAGAGAUGUGGAGGAACACCAGUGGCGAAGGCGGCUCUCUGGACUGUAACUGACGCUGAGGCGCGAAAGCGUGGGGAGCAAACAGGAUUAGAUACCCUGGUAGUCCACGCCGUAAACGAUGAGUGCUAGGUGUUGGGGGGGUCCACCCCUCGGUGCCGAAGUUAACACAUUAAGCACUCCGCCUGGGGAGUACGGUCGCAAGACUGAAACUCAAAGGAAUUGACGGGG
RNAcentral lists this ribosomal RNA (821 nucleotides) under Cohnella sp. RNAcentral's name for it is "bacterial SSU rRNA". It matches the Rfam family "Bacterial small subunit ribosomal RNA", at positions 109 to 918 of the family's 1533-position model. Lineage: Bacteria; Bacillati; Bacillota; Bacilli; Caryophanales; Paenibacillaceae. The record is from RNAcentral.